GGUUGAUCCUGCCAGUAGUCAUAUGCUUGUCUCAAAGAUUAAGCCAUGCAUGUCUCAGUGUAAACUUUUAAACAGUGAAACUGCGAAUGGCUCAUUAAAACAGUUAUAGUUUAUUUGAUACUCAUUUUUACAUGGAUAACCGUGGGAAUUCUAGGGCUAAUACAUGCGUAAACCCUCUAAGGGAUGUGUUUAUUAGAUAAAAACUAACGCUGUGGUUAAACACAGUAAUGUUGGAAUGAUAAUAACCGAUCGAAUCGCAUAUUAUGCGAUGAAUCAUUCAAGUUUCUGACCU
Molecule: ribosomal RNA, 292 nt
Filed under: uncultured eukaryote
Lineage: Eukaryota
Description: partial 18S ribosomal RNA
Rfam family: Eukaryotic small subunit ribosomal RNA
Source: RNAcentral